RNAcentral lists this ribosomal RNA (545 nucleotides) under uncultured archaeon. RNAcentral's name for it is "bacterial SSU rRNA". It matches the Rfam family "Archaeal small subunit ribosomal RNA", at positions 74 to 623 of the family's 1478-position model. The record is from RNAcentral.
AUACGUGGCACACGGCUCAGUAACACGUGGUCAACAUACCCAGAGGACGUGGAUAACCUCGGGAAACUGAGGAUAAACCGCGAUAGACCAUAAUGUCUGGAAUGAUUUAUGGUUCAAAUCUAUAUGGCCUCUGGAUUGGACUGCGGCCGAUCAGGCUGUUGGUGAGGUAAUGGCCCACCAAACCUGAAACCGGUACGGGCUCUGAGAGGAGAAGCCCGGAGAUGGGCACUGAGACAAGGGCCCAGGCCCUAUGGGGCGCAGCAGGCGCGAAACCUUUGCAAUAGGCGAAAGCCUGACAAGGUUACUCUGAGUGAUCUCCGCUAAGGAAAUCUUUGACACCUCUAAAAAUGGUGUAGAAUAAGGGGUGGGCAAGCCUGGUGUCAGCCGCCGCGGUAAUACCAGCACCCCGAGUGGUCGGGACGAUUAUUGGGCCUAAAGCAUCCGUAGCCGGUUCUUUAAGUCCUCCGUUAAAUCCACCUGCCUAACAGAUGGGCUGCGGAGGAUACUAUAGAGCUAGGAGGCGGGAGAGGCAAGCGGUACUCAGU